UGCCAGCAGCCGCGGUAAUACGGGGGGGGCAAGCGUUGUUCGGAAUUACUGGGCGUAAAGGGCGCGUAGGCGGCUUCGGAAGUCAUGGGUGAAAGGCCUCGGCUCAACCGAGGAAUUGCCUGUGAAACCACGGAGCUGGAGUGCUGGAGAGGAAAGCGGAAUUCCCAGUGUAGCGGUGAAAUGCGUAGAUAGUGGGAGGAACAUCUGAGGCGAAGGCGGCUUUCUGGACAGACACUGACGCUGAGGCGCGAAAGCCAGGGGAGCAAACG
This 269-nucleotide ribosomal RNA is filed under the name uncultured bacterium. RNAcentral describes it as "partial 16S ribosomal RNA". It matches the Rfam family "Bacterial small subunit ribosomal RNA", at positions 506 to 774 of the family's 1533-position model. The record is from RNAcentral.